CUUUUGCAGAAGUAGAUGUGCGUUGCUGAGAAAUUUUCUGCCUAAGUUCUGGUUUUCUUUGCAGCACCCAGCAUUUGUUUCUAACACAGGGAAAGAGUGAGCUGGAGAAACCUCUCAAAUUCAAGAAAGCGUAAAGCAAAUUGAACAAUACGGGUGAGGAGCACGGACUAUUCUCUCAUGUUGAAUGUGGCACUUUUUACAUACAAGCAGGAGAGCAACUACACCAAGAUUUUGGAAAACAUGUUAUGUAAGGUUAAUUGUGACCUCUAUGAUGGGGAUAUGAUAAAGAAGAAAAGUACCUCACAGCGAUGAUUGGCAUGUGAUCACUUAGCCAAUGAGAUAAGAGGCUGUAGAAACGAUGUGAUAAUGACAUCUCCUGAGUUGCAGGUCCAUAUUAGAAGUGGAUAUGAAGUAAACAUUGAGCUUUCCUCACAUUUAAUUAACAAGCUUUAUUAUAGAUACAGCUCAAAUUAGUUAAUUCAGGAAGCUUAUUUUGUAGAAAUUAAAACAUUAAUAAACACAUACAUUUAGAAAUAAAGAACUCGGCUGACCCUUUGACUCUUUGAAACAAGUGGCCUUCCAUGCUGUGAAAGAUUGUAGCCACUCUUUGAGACAUUGGAAUGGUGUCCAUUGCAUUUUAUCAAGUUAACUAUAGGUCAGCCUGGGAAAUCUGAAGUUUCCUUAUCUCCUGUCACUGUGGUUGCUGUGAGAUUUUGUGUCAUCACUGUGCUGUCUUCCCUCUCCACAUGAAGGUGAGCUGUCUGGCUUCACUCUAACGUUUGUGAUUUCACGCCCGACCUGAUUGUUGCCAAGCAAUUCCUUUGUUUGGAGAAUUCUGUGCUUUGUUUAGAAUUUUUUAAAGGUUCUUUUCCUGUGGUCAGAUUUCUGUUUGCUACUGUGUCUUAUGCCUUGUUCUCCUACAGAGAAGAUUCUUUGAAGUUAGUGGAAGCUCAGCUUAAAGGAAGAUCUACUGCUCUGUGUGGUGGAUGACCAUGGGGGAGCGAGAAGGCAGCCUCCGGCUUUUGUUUUGUGUGUGUGUGUGUGUGUGUGUGUGUGUGAUGUACCUGGAAAAAUAACACGACUAGGAUUAAAGAGUAUGUUUGGCAUGUUUAAAAUAAAUUGUAAACCAAACGUAUUUUAAAGAAUUUAUACAAAUUUGUCAUUUAGUAAAAUGAAUGACUAUUGAGUAUUCAUGUCAAUAAAACAACCACUUGAAU
RNAcentral lists this long non-coding RNA (1217 nucleotides) under Homo sapiens (human). Its description in RNAcentral is "non-protein coding LINC01612:5". Lineage: Eukaryota; Metazoa; Chordata; Mammalia; Primates; Hominidae. The record is from RNAcentral.